RNAcentral lists this ribosomal RNA (402 nucleotides) under uncultured bacterium. RNAcentral's name for it is "bacterial SSU rRNA". It matches the Rfam family "Bacterial small subunit ribosomal RNA", at positions 355 to 774 of the family's 1533-position model. The record is from RNAcentral.
UGGGGAAUUUUGUACAAUGGGCGCAAGCCUGAUCCAGCCAUGCCGCGUGAGCGAUGAAGCCCUUCGGGGCGUAAAGCUCUUUCGACCGGAACGAUAAUGACGGUACCGGGAGAAGAAGCUGCGGCUAACUACGUGCCAGCAGCCGCGGUAAUACGUAGGCAGCAAGCGUUGUUCGGAGUUACUGGGCGUAAAGAGUGCGUAGGCGGUUUUCUAAGUUCGGUGUGAAAUCUCCCGGCUUAACUGGGAGGGUGCGCCGAAGACUGGGAAGCUGGAGUGUGGGAAAGGCAGGCGGAAUUCCUGGUGUAGCGGUGAAAUGCGUAGAUAUCAGGAGGAACACCUGCGGUGUAGACGGCUUGCUAGACCAUAACUGACGCUGAGGCACGAAAGCGUGGGUAGCAAACA